This 1329-nucleotide ribosomal RNA is filed under the name marine metagenome. RNAcentral's name for it is "bacterial LSU rRNA". It matches the Rfam family "Bacterial large subunit ribosomal RNA", at positions 1095 to 2413 of the family's 2925-position model. The record is from RNAcentral.
AGGAGGUUGGCUUAGAAGCAGCCACCCUUUAAAGAGUGCGUAACAGCUCACUGGUCGAGGGUUCCUGCGCGGAAAAUAAACGGGGCUCAAGUCCGUUGCCGAAGCUGCGGGAUUCCAGAGUAAUUCUGGGAUCGGUAGGAGAACGUUCUCAGGGGAUUGAAGGUAGAUUGGAAGGUCUGCUGGACCGCUGAGAAGUGCGAAUGCCGGCAUGAGUAGCGACAAUCCUGGUAAGAAUCCAGGACACCGGAAGUCCAAGGUUUCCUACGCAACGCUGAUCGACGUAGGGUUAGUCGGUCCUAAGGCGAAGCCGAAAGGCGAUGUCGAUGGACAGCAGGUCAAAAUUCCUGCACCACUUAACUUCCGUUUUAAAGUCUCGGGGGGACGCGGAGAGCUAGACGAAGCAUGCCUAUUGGACAUGGUGUGUGUAUUCCUGCAGGCGAGCUGUGGCGUCAAAAAUGCCGUGGUGUUUGAGCUGAGAGGAAUGCGAACCCUUAGGAACUCCUUCGGGAACUUCGUUGAUGCUGAACCGCCUAGAAAAGCCCCGAGUACAAGGAAACGAGUGACCGUACCGCAAACCGACACAGGUGGACAGGGGUAAAUGCCCCCAGGUGACCGGGAGAACCAUCGUUAAGGAACUCGGCAAUCUAACCCCGUAACUUCGGGAUAAGGGGUGCCGCUGACGUAUUAGGAUUUACUCCGAAAAGCAUUGGCGGCCGCAGAGAAUAGGCCCAAGCGACUGUUUAUCAAAAACAUAGGUCCGUGCCAAAGCGCAAGCUGAUGUAUACGGGCUGACGCCUGCCCAGUGCCGGAAGGUUAAGGGGAGGAGUGAGAGCUCCGAACCGAAGCCCCGGUGAACGGCGGCCGUAACUAUAACGGUCCUAAGGUAGCGAAGUCCCUUGUCGGGUAAGUUCCGACCUGCACGAAAGGCGUAACGACUUGGGCGCUGUCUCAACGGUGGACUCGGUGAAAUUGCAGGACCCGUAAAGAUGCGGGUUACCCGCGGCAGGACAAAAAGACCCCGUGGAGCUUUACUGCAGCUUGGCAUUGAAUCGUAGUUAAUGGUGCGCAGGAUAGGUGGGAGGCUUUGAAAUUCUGACUUCGGUCAGGGUGGAGCCGUCGUUGAGAUACCACUCUCCAUUAAUAGCGGUCCUAACCUUUUUUAAGGGACAUUGUCUGGCAGGCAGUUUGACUGGGGCGGUCGCCUCCCAAAAUGUAACGGAGGCGCCCAAAGGUCACCUCAGGCUGGAUGGAAAUCAGUCUUGGAGUGCAUUGGCAUAAGGUGGCUUGACUGCGAGACCUACAAGUCGAGCAGGGACGAAAGUCGGGCAA